Molecule: long non-coding RNA, 1451 nt
Filed under: Ursus maritimus (polar bear)
Lineage: Eukaryota; Metazoa; Chordata; Mammalia; Carnivora; Ursidae
Description: lncRNA (ENSUMAG00000016105.1)
Source: RNAcentral
GGUUGCGAAGCUCUUACCUGGUUACAGCCUUUUCUCCUCUGACCUCUUACUGGAUCUCUAACGAUCAGACACGGAAGAAGGAAGGAAACUUCUUUGAGUCCUCGUGGAGCCCGAGAGCAGCUCUCUGCUGGAGUGAGGUCCCACUCGUGGCGGGCCACAGCCAGGAAAGGCACGGAAGGGCAUUGUAGCCGCGGGUCUACGGAUGUGAACGUGGUUCUCCAGGGAAGGGGGCGCAGGAGAGGCGGCGCAGGGGUGACAGAUCUCUAGGAGGAAACCGCAAAGCCACGUGGGGGCCACCUGGUGCCUCCACCCUCGCAAGAGUCCCCUUGCAGUGCGUCCCGGGGAGCAAGAGCAAGGCCCCGACCCUCCCGUGGCGGAUGGGGCUGGUCAGCUGCCACGGUUGCCGUAUUCUUGGACCCUGCACUCGCCGCAUUUAUGAAAAGCCUGAAAAGCACCAGGACAUCACAGACGAGACCGCUUCGGGCCCUGGCAUCACUGAGCUCGCACUGGGAGACCAACAGAAACAGGCCAUUUUAAGAUGGAAAGCCUGGAAAGCCCAGCUGUGCGGAGGCCCUCAGGCUCUCUGCUGUGCGAGCCGGGAGUAGCCCAGGUACCAGCGCCCUCACACCGGCCUGAGCUCAGCUUUUCACGCUCCGCAAGCCAGACCCACGGCUGCCAGCGAACACCAGGGAGAGAGAAGUGCAAGGUCACGGACGGGGGUCACGGACGGGGAGUGGACCCAUGUGCCCGGGCAUGGGAGUCCUGUGGCAUGGAGAGUCCCGGCAUCCCAGGAGCUCUGCAGAGCAGGCAGCUGGACUCCCUGUGGCCCGGAGUGACAGGCGCAGCCCGCGGUCACCGUGUAAGAGGAAAAGAGGCCCAGUUUCCUUCCAGCAACACGCGGCCACUACAGGAGACCAGGGAUCCCGAGACACCUUUGCCAACAGCCAGCGGGGCUGCCAGCGCCUGCCGCCAGGUUUCCAGGAGCCACACCACGGCCUCCUGGUGACGCAGAAGGGCUGUUGGCCACAUGCUGAGGAAGCUGGGUCACUUUUUCUAUCCCGGGGUCCAGUCGGGGACCCCUCAUCAUGUUUCCUCGGUCCGAGGUGUGUGACAGUAACUCAGGUUUGCCUUGUUUGCGUGACCUUGACAGUUUUGGUUUCACAGCUCCAUUCCUUGUACUAAAAUUGUCCUUUGGAAGUUUUAGCGCACCGAGCCCAUGUAUGAUAGCUGUUUUUAGUAUCACUGUUUGCUAAUUCUAGCAUCUCUUUUAUUUCUGGGCCCAUAUUACUGGUGGAUCUUUACUCCUGGUGACAGGUGACAUUUUCCUGCCUUUUCUGUGUCUGGUUAAUUUUUCUUGGAUUCCGGAAUUUGUGCUUAUGUGUUACUGGGGCUGGAUUGUGUUGUGUUGGACUUUAUUCUGCCAGCAGCGGAAUCUGUUUCCUCCUUUCAAA